GUGGGGAAUAUUGGACAAUGGGCGCAAGCCUGAUCCAGCCAUGCCGCGUGAGUGAUGAAGGCCCUAGGGUUGUAAAGCUCUUUUGUGCGGGAAGAUAAUGACGGUACCGCAAGAAUAAGCCCCGGCUAACUUCGUGCCAGCAGCCGCGGUAAUACGAAGGGGGCUAGCGUUGCUCGGAAUCACUGGGCGUAAAGGGUGCGUAGGCGGGUCUUUAAGUCAGGGGUGAAAUCCUGGAGCUCAACUCCAGAACUGCCUUUGAUACUGAGGAUCUUGAGUUCGGGAGAGGUGAGUGGAACUGCGAGUGUAGAGGUGAAAUUCGUAGAUAUUCGCAAGAACACCAGUGGCGAAGGCGGCUCACUGGCCCGAUACUGACGCUGAGGCACGAAAGCGUGGGGAGCAAACAGGAUUAGAUACCCUUGUAGUCC
RNAcentral lists this ribosomal RNA (425 nucleotides) under uncultured bacterium. RNAcentral describes it as "bacterial SSU rRNA". It matches the Rfam family "Bacterial small subunit ribosomal RNA", at positions 354 to 796 of the family's 1533-position model. The record is from RNAcentral.